UAGCCUCUGUUGAAGCUGCCAGCAUGAUCUAAACUUUCCUUUUUUUGUAGAGGAAAGAACAGAUCAUGUGGUAGCUUCAUCCGAUUCUGGUUG
This 93-nucleotide microRNA precursor is filed under the name Digitalis purpurea (common foxglove). RNAcentral's name for it is "miR167a stem-loop (dpr-MIR167a)". Its record names the gene dpr-MIR167a. The record is from miRBase by way of RNAcentral. Lineage: Eukaryota; Viridiplantae; Streptophyta; Magnoliopsida; Lamiales; Plantaginaceae.